GCCGCGGUAGCUCAGCUGGCAGAGCGCUCGGCUGUUAACUUCUAGUUGACAGAGACCGAGCGGUCGACGGUUCGAGUCCGUCCCGCGGCG
Molecule: transfer RNA, 90 nt
Filed under: Metallosphaera sedula
Lineage: Archaea; Thermoproteati; Thermoproteota; Thermoprotei; Sulfolobales; Sulfolobaceae
Also listed under: 1 other name
Description: tRNA-Asn
Rfam family: tRNA
About the family: Transfer RNA (tRNA) molecules are approximately 80 nucleotides in length.
Source: RNAcentral